RNAcentral lists this ribosomal RNA (465 nucleotides) under uncultured Klebsiella sp. Its description in RNAcentral is "bacterial SSU rRNA". It matches the Rfam family "Bacterial small subunit ribosomal RNA", at positions 338 to 795 of the family's 1533-position model. Lineage: Bacteria; Pseudomonadati; Pseudomonadota; Gammaproteobacteria; Enterobacterales; Enterobacteriaceae. The record is from RNAcentral.
CCUACGGGUGGCUGCAGUGGGGAAUAUUGCACAAUGGGCGCAAGCCUGAUGCAGCCAUGCCGCGUGUGUGAAGAAGGCCUUCGGGUUGUAAAGCACUUUCAGCGGGGAGGAAGGCGGUGAGGUUAAUAACCUCAUCGAUUGACGUUACCCGCAGAAGAAGCACCGGCUAACUCCGUGCCAGCAGCCGCGGUAAUACGGAGGGUGCAAGCGUUAAUCGGAAUUACUGGGCGUAAAGCGCACGCAGGCGGUCUGUCAAGUCGGAUGUGAAAUCCCCGGGUUCAACCUGGGAACUGCAUUCGAAACUGGCAGGCUAGAGUCUUGUAGAGGGGGGUAGAAUUCCAGGUGUAGCGGUGAAAUGCGUAGAGAUCUGGAGGAAUACCGGUGGCGAAGGCGGCCCCCUGGACAAAGACUGACGCUCAGGUGCGAAAGCGUGGGGAGCAAACAGGAUUAGAUACCCGAGUAGUC